Long non-coding RNA from Notothenia coriiceps (black rockcod), 329 nucleotides. RefSeq lists it as uncharacterized. NCBI's taxonomy places the organism in Eukaryota, Metazoa, Chordata, Actinopteri, Perciformes, Nototheniidae. The transcript is spliced from 3 exons. The record is from RefSeq and is a predicted model, not a curated record.
AGCGUUUCUUGUCGUUUACCGAUAGUUGUUUGGUGAAGAACCACCUGCACCGGCCCAACACCGACACCCUGCUGAGACACGCUUUCAUCCGGGAUCUGGCCAACGAGAGACAAGUGCGCAUCAUGCUCAAAGAUCACCUGGAUAGAACCAGAAAGAAAAAAGAGAAAGAGGGUCCAGAGUACGAGUACAGCGGCAGUGACGAAGACGAUGAAGAGGUGACAGAGGAGGAAGGAGAACCCAGCUCCAUAGUGAACGUUCCCGGCGAGUGGACGUUGAGACGGGAGUUCCUCCGCUUACAGACGGAGGAUCGUGACGGGGCAGAGAGGGAG